AACGAACGCUGGCGGCAUGCCUAACACAUGCAAGUCGAACGAGACCUUCGGGUCUAGUGGUGCACGGGUGCGUAACGCGUGGGAACCUGCCCUUAGGUUCGGAAUAACUCCCCGAAAGGGGUGCUAAUACCGGAUAAUGUCUUCGGACCAAAGAUUUAUCGCCUUUGGAUGGGCCCGCGUUGGAUUAGCCAGUUGGUAGGGUAAAAGCCUACCAAGGCGACGAUCCAUAGCUGGUCUGAGAGGAUGAUCAGCCACACUGGGACUGAGACACGGCCCAGACUCCUACGGGAGGCAGCAGUGGGGAAUAUUGGACAAUGGGCGAAAGCCUGAUCCAGCAAUGCCGCGUGAGUGAUGAAGGCCUUAGGGUUGUAAAGCUCUUUUACCCGGGAUGAUAAUGACAGUACCGGGAGAAUAAGCGCCGGCUAACUCCGUG
Molecule: ribosomal RNA, 433 nt
Filed under: uncultured bacterium
Lineage: Bacteria
Description: partial 16S ribosomal RNA
Rfam family: Bacterial small subunit ribosomal RNA
Source: RNAcentral